CCUACGGGUGGCAGCAGUGAGGAAUAUUGGGCAAUGGGCGUAAGCCUGAACCAGCCAAGUCGCGUGAGGGAUGAAGGUUCUAUGGAUCGUAAACCUCUUUUAUAAGGGAAUAAAGUUCGGGACGUGUCUCUUUUUGUCUUUACCUUAUGAAUAAGGAUCGGCUAACUCCGGGCCAGCAGCCGCGGUAAUACGGAGGAUCCGAGCGUUAUCCGGAUUUAUUGGGUUUAAAGGGUGCGUAGGCGGCCUUUUAAGUCAGCGGUGAAAGUCUGUGGCUCAACCAUAGAAUUGCAUUUGAAACUGGGAGGCUUGAGUAUGUUUGAGGAAGGAGGAAUGCGUGGUGUAGCGGUGAAAUGCUUAGAGAUCACGCAGAACCCCGAUUGCGAAGGCGGCCUGCCAAGCCAUGACUGACGCUGAUGCACGAAAGCGUGGGGAUCAAACAGGAUUAGAUACCCUUGUAGUC
This 460-nucleotide ribosomal RNA is filed under the name uncultured bacterium. Its description in RNAcentral is "partial 16S ribosomal RNA". It matches the Rfam family "Bacterial small subunit ribosomal RNA", at positions 338 to 795 of the family's 1533-position model. The record is from RNAcentral.